RNAcentral lists this ribosomal RNA (270 nucleotides) under Triticum aestivum (bread wheat). RNAcentral's name for it is "partial small subunit ribosomal RNA". The record is from RNAcentral. Lineage: Eukaryota; Viridiplantae; Streptophyta; Magnoliopsida; Poales; Poaceae.
AUGAAGGUCCGCGCAUCGGUGAAGCGGCUGUGCGGAUUCUGCAAGGUGGUGAAGCGCCGGGGGAUCGUCUUCAUCCACUGCACCUCCAACCAGAAGCACAAGCAGCGCCAGGGCUUCUCCACCAUCGCCGCCUGCCUCCCGCCCCCGCCGCCCGCCUCCGCCUCCGCCGCCGCGUUCGCCGAGGCUUCCAAGGUGGCCCGUCAGGAGAUGUCAACGAAGUUCAACUGGCCGCUGGGUCUAGCUGCCGUGCUCAAGAAUGGUGACAAAUAA